Molecule: ribosomal RNA, 1137 nt
Filed under: Flavobacterium sp.
Lineage: Bacteria; Pseudomonadati; Bacteroidota; Flavobacteriia; Flavobacteriales; Flavobacteriaceae
Description: bacterial SSU rRNA
Rfam family: Bacterial small subunit ribosomal RNA
Source: RNAcentral
GGUAUGCUUCUUCGGAAGUAGAGACCGGCGCACGGGUGCGUAACGCGUAUGCAAUCUACCUUUUACAGAGGGAUAGCCCAGAGAAAUUUGGAUUAAUACCUCAUAGCAUAGCAACUUCGCAUGAAGUCACUAUUAAAGUCACAACGGUAAAAGAUGAGCAUGCGUCCCAUUAGCUAGUUGGUAAGGUAACGGCUUACCAAGGCUACGAUGGGUAGGGGUCCUGAGAGGGAGAUCCCCCACACUGGUACUGAGACACGGACCAGACUCCUACGGGAGGCAGCAGUGAGGAAUAUUGGACAAUGGGCGCAAGCCUGAUCCAGCCAUGCCGCGUGCAGGAUGACGGUCCUAUGGAUUGUAAACUGCUUUUAUACAGGAAGAAACCCUGGUUCGUGAACCAGCUUGACGGUACUGUAAGAAUAAGGAUCGGCUAACUCCGUGCCAGCAGCCGCGGUAAUACGGAGGAUCCAAGCGUUAUCCGGAAUCAUUGGGUUUAAAGGGUCCGUAGGCGGUUUAGUAAGUCAGUGGUGAAAGCCCAUCGCUCAACGGUGGAACGGCCAUUGAUACUGCUAAACUUGAAUUAUUAGGAAGUAACUAGAAUAUGUAGUGUAGCGGUGAAAUGCUUAGAGAUUACAUGGAAUACCAAUUGCGAAGGCAGGUUACUACUAAUUGAUUGACGCUGAUGGACGAAAGCGUGGGUAGCGAACAGGAUUAGAUACCCUGGUAGUCCACGCCGUAAACGAUGGAUACUAGCUGUUGGGAGCAAUCUCAGUGGCUAAGCGAAAGUGAUAAGUAUCCCACCUGGGGAGUACGUUCGCAAGAAUGAAACUCAAAGGAAUUGACGGGGGCCCGCACAAGCGGUGGAGCAUGUGGUUUAAUUCGAUGAUACGCGAGGAACCUUACCAAGGCUUAAAUGUAGUUUGACCGAUUUGGAAACAGAUUUUUCGCAAGACAAAUUACAAGGUGCUGCAUGGUUGUCGUCAGCUCGUGCCGUGAGGUGUCAGGUUAAGUCCUAUAACGAGCGCAACCCCUGUUGUUAGUUGCCAGCGAGUCAUGUCGGGAACUCUAACAAGACUGCCAGUGCAAACUGUGAGGAAGGUGGGGAUGACGUCAAAUCAUCACGGCCCUUACGCCUUGGGC